CAACACUCUUCAUUCCUCCUUAUUAUUCCUUGAUUUCAUUCAUUUCCCUAAUGUCAUCCUUCAAUUCCUCUUUCCAGAUUUAUUUUCUCUAUCUUCCAGUUCCUCUUCUCUCUUCCAGUUCCUCUUUUCUCUUCAAAUUCUUCUUCUCUCUCUUCCAGUUCCUCUUCUCUCUUCAACUUCGUUUUCUCUCUCUCUCUUCAUCCUUUUCUAUCAUUUGUUUUCGUAAUUUUCAAUUUGUUAGGGUGCAUUAUUUUUUCCCCAAAUCAAUUUAGGGUUUCCACUUUCAAUUGUCUCCAAAAUUUAAACCCACAAGAUCGUAUCUCAAGUUUGUAAACCCAAAAUUUGGUUUUUUUGGUUUGAAUCUCAAAGAUUUGGGGUUUUCACAAGCUUUCAUUUGAAGAUUUGGGGUUUUCACACAAGAUCUGUUCGAUUUUUUGUAUUUUCUGGGUUCGAAAAUUUAUGGGUAAUUUGCAAAGAUCUGGAAUUUGGGAAUUUGGGUUCGAAAAUUUGUGGGUCUGAAGGAGUGCGCGUGGCGAGGGAGCUGGAAUGCGGCCCGAGGGAGACUCACUGCCUUCAAUCAGAGCUGAAGGGGCGUGGCUGGGCGGUGGUGGAAAAAAAGGGUUUUAGUUUUUAGAUUUUAUUUUUUGAUGAACAAUAAAUUUAGUUAAUUUAAGUUUUUUUUGUAUAAAUUUUAGUUUUGAGAUUUUAUUUUUUCUUUUGAUUUUUUGUACCAAAAUUCAUCAAAAUUAUUAAUAAAAGUAUAUUAUUAAUUUAA
Long non-coding RNA from Beta vulgaris subsp. vulgaris (sugar beet), 775 nucleotides. RefSeq lists it as uncharacterized. NCBI's taxonomy places the organism in Eukaryota, Viridiplantae, Streptophyta, Magnoliopsida, Caryophyllales, Amaranthaceae. The transcript is spliced from 2 exons. The record is from RefSeq and is a predicted model, not a curated record.